AUCUAGAUAUCAACUUGGCUCCCAUACAUUAUCUGUUCUAAAUACUCACUUGAACUGCCAAUAUAGUUGUACAGCAGCAAACACAAAUUUGAAAUGUGUACUAAUUUAGAAAAUUUCUUUUAAAUAUGUAUUGUAAAAUUGUUUUAAAACAUUACUUUUCAUUCCAAUGAUUAUUACAUAUUAUAUGGACUGGAUUUAUAUUGAAUAAAUAAUGAUAGGUAAAGUUUAGCAUCAUUAUUGUUUUGUUAUAUGCGUUUUGAAGAGUUCUUCCUUCCUUACUUUGUUUGACCAUAGCCUGUUCUAUGCAUCACCAUGAAAUGUUGUAUGCUCUCAAGUUUGACUUUUUAUCUUAUUUUAUGUGUGAACGAAACAAAAGUGUGUCAUUAAAACAUUUUUUUUUAAUACUUAUGCUAAUCUUGUUUUUUUUAAACCUAGUUGUUUAAAUGUAUGUAGG
This is a non-coding RNA of Biomphalaria pfeifferi, 454 nucleotides long. Lineage: Eukaryota; Metazoa; Mollusca; Gastropoda; Planorbidae. The record is from the annotation of a GenBank genome assembly.